CCUGAGGUCAGCUGUUGAAUCAAAGACUUCCACUGAGGUUUAAUGGAUCUCAACCUGGCUGCACAUUAGGCUUACACAGGGAUAAUUAAUGUUGCUGAUGUUUUAGCCCAUACCCGCUGUCCCCAGAGAUUCUGAUUUAAUUAGUCUGGGGCAGGUCCAGGAUUGGUAUGUUUUAAAAGAUCUGCAGAUAAUUCUAAUUCAUGGUCAAGAUUGAGAACCACUUCAUGAAGUAGCUGGGAAAACUGCCUAGCAAAGAUGCUCUCUGGAGUGUGAUGUCCUCUCCUGGGGAGUCUGACUAAGACAAAUAAUUGGCUCCAGCAGUGGGUGUAGAUAAAGAUGUAGUCUCAGGAGAAGAAGCAUAAACAGAGAAGCUGAAUCAAGAAAAUGAUUUUCUAUUGGAGUUGCUGAGGCUCCAAAAGUGCCAGCAGUGUGAUCCUCAGCAUCUCACUGAGAUGGAGUCUCACUCUGUCGCCCAGGCUGGAGUACAGUGGAGCAAUCUUGGCCAACUGCAAGCUCUGCCUCCUAGGUUCACGCA
RNAcentral lists this long non-coding RNA (535 nucleotides) under Homo sapiens (human). RNAcentral describes it as "HSALNT0044294". The record is from RNAcentral. Lineage: Eukaryota; Metazoa; Chordata; Mammalia; Primates; Hominidae.